UGGGGAAUUUUGGACAAUGGGCGAAAGCCUGAUCCAGCAAUGCCGCGUGUGUGAAGAAGGCCUUCGGGUUGUAAAGCACUUUUGUCCGGAAAGAAAUCCUUGGCUCUAAUACAGUCGGGGGAUGACGGUACCGGAAGAAUAAGCACCGGCUAACUACGUGCCAGCAGCCGCGGUAAUACGUAGGGUGCAAGCGUUAAUCGGAAUUACUGGGCGUAAAGCGUGCGCAGGCGGUUUGCUAAGACAGAUGUGAAAUCCCCGGGCUUAACCUGGGAACUGCAUUUGUGACUGGCGGGCUAGAGUAUGGCAGAGGGGGGUAGAAUUCCACGUGUAGCAGUGAAAUGCGUAGAGAUGUGGAGGAAUACCGAUGGCGAAGGCAGCCCCCUGGGCCAAUACUGACGCUCAUGCACGAAAGCGUGGGGAGCAAACAGGAUUAGAUACCCUGGUAGUCCACGCCCUAAACGAUGUCAACUAGUUGUUGGGGAUUCAUUUCCUUAGUAACGUAGCUAACGCGUGAAGUUGACCGCCUGGGGAGUACGGUCGCAAGA
RNAcentral lists this ribosomal RNA (545 nucleotides) under uncultured bacterium. RNAcentral describes it as "partial 16S ribosomal RNA". It matches the Rfam family "Bacterial small subunit ribosomal RNA", at positions 355 to 893 of the family's 1533-position model. The record is from RNAcentral.